GUCAGGAUGGCCGAGUGGUCUAAGGCGCCAGACUCAAGUUCUGGUUCCGAAUGGAGCGUGGGUUCGAAUCCCACUUCUGACACCA
This 85-nucleotide transfer RNA is filed under the name Rattus norvegicus (Norway rat). RNAcentral's name for it is "tRNA-Leu". It matches the Rfam family "tRNA". From Rfam's summary of the family: Transfer RNA (tRNA) molecules are approximately 80 nucleotides in length. Their secondary structure includes four short double-helical elements and three loops (D, anti-codon, and T loops). Further hydrogen bonds mediate the characteristic L-shaped molecular structure. tRNAs have two regions of fundamental functional importance: the anti-codon, which is responsible for specific mRNA codon recognition, and the 3' end, to which the tRNAs corresponding amino acid is attached (by aminoacyl-tRNA synthetases). tRNAs cope with the degeneracy of the genetic code in two manners: having more than one tRNA (with a specific anti-codon) for a particular amino acid; and 'wobble' base-pairing, i.e. permitting non-standard base-pairing at the 3rd anti-codon position. Lineage: Eukaryota; Metazoa; Chordata; Mammalia; Rodentia; Muridae. The record is from RNAcentral.